Molecule: non-coding RNA, 21 nt
Filed under: Caenorhabditis elegans
Lineage: Eukaryota; Metazoa; Nematoda; Chromadorea; Rhabditida; Rhabditidae
Source: RNAcentral
UUCAGACUGUCGAAUGUAAAU